GACGAACGCUGGCGGCGUGCUUAACACAUGCAAGUCGAACGGAAAGGCUCCAGCUUUCUGGCGUACUCGAGUGGCGAACGGGUGAGUAACACGUGGGUAAUCUGCCCUUCACUCUGGGAUAAGCCUGGGAAACUGGGUCUAAUACUGGAUAUGACCUUUCUCCUUAUGGGGUUUGGUGGAAAGUUUUUCGGUGUAGGAUGAGCCCGCGGCCUAUCAGCUUGUUGGUGGGGUGAUGGCCUACCAAGGCGACGGCGGGUAGCCCGCCUGAGGGGGUGAUCGGCCGCAUUGGGACUGAGAGAAGGCCCAGACUCCGAAGGGAGGGAGCAGGGGGGAAUAUUGCACGAGGGGCGGCAGCCUGAUGCAGCGAGGCCGCGUGAGGGAUGACGGCCUUCGGGUUGAAAACCUCUUUCAGCAGGGACGAAGCGUAAGUGACGGGACCUGCAGAAGAAGCACCGGCUAACUAUGUGC
This 468-nucleotide ribosomal RNA is filed under the name uncultured bacterium. RNAcentral describes it as "partial 16S ribosomal RNA". It matches the Rfam family "Bacterial small subunit ribosomal RNA", at positions 28 to 508 of the family's 1533-position model. The record is from RNAcentral.